AACGAACGCUGGCGGCAUGCCUAACACAUGCAAGUCGAACGAGACCUUCGGGUCUAGGGGCGCACGGGUGCGUAACGCGUGGGAACCUGCCCUUAGGUUCGGAAUAACUCCCCGAAAGGGGUGCUAAUACCGGAUAAUGUCUUCGGACCAAAGAUUUAUCGCCUUUGGAUGGGCCCGCGUUGGAUUAGCUAGUUGGUAGGGUAAAAGCCUACCAAGGCGACGAUCCAUAGCUGGUCUGAGAGGAUGAUCAGCCACACUGGGACUGAGACACGGCCCAGACUCCUACGGGAGGCAGCAGUGGGGAAUAUUGGACGAUGGGCGAAAGCCUGAUCCAGCAAUGCCGCGUGAGUGAUGAAGGCCUUAGGGUUGUAAAGCUCUUUUACCCGGGAUGAUAAUGACAGUACCGGGAGAAUAAGCACCGGCUAACUCCGUG
RNAcentral lists this ribosomal RNA (433 nucleotides) under uncultured bacterium. RNAcentral describes it as "partial 16S ribosomal RNA". It matches the Rfam family "Bacterial small subunit ribosomal RNA", at positions 29 to 507 of the family's 1533-position model. The record is from RNAcentral.